This 1310-nucleotide long non-coding RNA is filed under the name Homo sapiens (human). RNAcentral describes it as "HSALNT0249756". The record is from RNAcentral. Lineage: Eukaryota; Metazoa; Chordata; Mammalia; Primates; Hominidae.
UUUACAAACCUUUAGCUAGACAGAAAAGUUCUCCAGGUCCCCCACCCAACCCAAAAGCCCAGCCAGCUUCACCUCUCAAUGGCACUCUCCACAGGAGUUUGCAGCACCUAGCCCAGGCACUCCGGCAGCCCAGAGGGAGCUCGUCCCCCAUCAGGCCCAGGAGGCGCUGGCCUGCCGCGCCGAGUACGGGGCCCACCCAGCCGGCGCCCACCCGGAACCCGCGCCGGGCCGGCGCCCACCCGGAACCCGCGCCGGGCCGGCGCCCACCCGGAACCCGCGCCGGGCCGGCGCCCACCCGGAACCCGCGCCGGGCCGGCGCCCACCCGGAACCCGCGCCGGGCCGGCGCCCACCCGGAACCCGCGCCGGGCCGGCGCCCACCCGGAACCCGCGCCGGGCCGGCGCCCACCCGGAACCCGCGCCGGGCCGGCGCCCACCCGGAACCCGCGCCGGGCCGGCGCCCACCCGGAACCCGCGCCGGGCCGGCGCCCACCCGGAACCCGCGCCGGGCCGGCGCCCACCCGGAACCCGCGCCGGCCCGGGAGCGCCGCGCAGCCCGGGCUCCCGCCCGUGCCUCCGCCUCCACACCUCCCCGCGAGCAGAGGGAGCCGGCUCCGGCCUCGGCCAGCCCCAGAGAGGGGGUCCCCACAGCGCAGCGGCGGGCUAAAGGGCUCCUCCAGCGCGGCCAGAGCGGACGCCUAGGCCGAGGAGAUGCCGAGAGGGAGCGAGGGCUGCUAGAACGUUGUCACCUCUCAAAACCUGGGUUAAACCUGGGUAACCUGGGUUACUCUCUACUGGUAGAGACAUUGGCUUCUCACUGCAGACCUUGAUAGAAAUGUAGUAGCAUUUGAAUCAAUAGGCUGUGUAAAGAAGAUCUGCACUCACCAAUGUAGGCCAGCAUCAUCCAAUCCACUGAAGGCCUGUAUAGAACAAAAACUUACCCUCUCUUUCAGAGCUAGGCCAUUUAUCUUCUCCCCUUCUCAGAAAUCAGCACACCUGGUUCUCAAACAUUUGACUUGACCUGGGACUUACUUCAGUCUCUCCCCAUCUCCCUCCCCCAUCUCACCUUUGGAGUUGACUGAAUUACACCACUGUUUUUCCUGGUUCUCCAGCUUGCAGAUGGCAAAUCAUGGGAUUUCUCCACCUCUAUAAUUCCCAUAAUAAAUUAUAACAUGAGUCAAUUUCCAUAGUAAAUUUCUACACACACAAACACGUAGAUGUAUGUCCUAUUGGUUUUGUUUUUCUGAGAAAUACUGCCUAAUAAAAAACGUGUGCGUGUGUGUGUGUUUAAAUAAAUUGUAAAGGCCAGGCU